GAUCAUGGCUCAGAUUGAACGCUGGCGGCAGGCUUAACACAUGCAAGUCGAACGGUAACAUAAAGAAGCUUGCUUCUUUGAUGACGAGUGGCGGACGGGUGAGUAAUGCUUGGGAAUCUAGCUUAUGGAGGGGGGAUAACUACGGGAAACUGUAGCUAAUACCGCGUAGUAUCGAGAGAUGAAAGUGUGGGACCUUCGGGCCACAUGCCAUAGGAUGAGCCCAAGUGGGAUUAGGUAGUUGG
Molecule: ribosomal RNA, 242 nt
Filed under: uncultured bacterium
Lineage: Bacteria
Description: partial 16S ribosomal RNA
Rfam family: Bacterial small subunit ribosomal RNA
Source: RNAcentral